RNAcentral lists this ribosomal RNA (307 nucleotides) under uncultured Synergistaceae bacterium. RNAcentral's name for it is "bacterial SSU rRNA". It matches the Rfam family "Bacterial small subunit ribosomal RNA", at positions 1077 to 1382 of the family's 1533-position model. RNAcentral also lists the same sequence under 1 other name. The record is from RNAcentral. Lineage: Bacteria; Thermotogati; Synergistota; Synergistia; Synergistales; Synergistaceae.
GGGUUAAGUCCCGCAACGAGCGCAACCCCUGCUGCCAGUUGCCAACGGGUGAAGCCGGGCACUCUGGCGGGACUGCCAUCGACAAGAUGGAGGAAGGUGGGGAUGACGUCAAGUCAUCAUGGCCCUUAUGUCCAGGGCGACACACGUGCUACAAUGGCCGGCACAGCGGGAAGCGAGGCAGUGAUGCCGAGCGGAUCCCUUAAAGCCGGUCUCAGUUCGGAUUGAAGUCUGCAACUCGACUUCAUGAAGCUGGAAUCGCUAGUAAUCGCAGAUCAGCCAAGCUGCGGUGAAUACGUUCCCGGGCCUU